AUUGAACGCUGGCGGCAGGCCUAACACAUGCAAGUCGAGCGAGCGGCGGACGGGUGAGUAAUGUAUGGGGAUCUGCCCGAUAGAGGGGGAUAACUACUGGAAACGGUGGCUAAUACCGCAUAAUAUCGGAUGAACCCAUAGGGGAUUAGCUAGGAGGUGGGGUAAAGGCUCACCGAGGCGACGAUCUCUAGCUGGUCUGAGAGGAUGAUCAGCCACACUGGGCCGUAGACACGGCCCAGACUCCUACGGGAGGCAGCAGUGGGGAAUAUUGCACAAUGGGUGCAAGCCUGAGGCAGCCAUGCCGCGUGUAUGAAGAAGGCCGUAGGGUUGUAAAGUACUUUCAGCGGGGAGGCGUUACCCGCAGAAGAAGCACCGGCUAACUCCGUGCCAGCCGCCGCGGUAAUUC
RNAcentral lists this ribosomal RNA (406 nucleotides) under uncultured bacterium. RNAcentral describes it as "partial 16S ribosomal RNA". It matches the Rfam family "Bacterial small subunit ribosomal RNA", at positions 29 to 526 of the family's 1533-position model. The record is from RNAcentral.